This 558-nucleotide ribosomal RNA is filed under the name Triticum aestivum (bread wheat). RNAcentral describes it as "partial small subunit ribosomal RNA". The record is from RNAcentral. Lineage: Eukaryota; Viridiplantae; Streptophyta; Magnoliopsida; Poales; Poaceae.
AUGUACUCCAUCCAUAGUACCUGGGUCCAGCAGGUGGCAACCCCGAGCCAGCUAAGUAGCGAUGAAGAUGAAUAUUUUGUUUUCAUGCUGGUCAAUGCGUAUAUUCUGUUGGUGGAAACUUUGCAUGAAGUUCAAUUAAGACAGAAAAUUAAAGAAAAGGAGUUGAGAAUAGAGAAUAUUGCCCCAUUUGGUGGCUCUUUUAUCAAGUGCUUGAUUGAUCCUCGUCCCCCCAUGUCAUUGCAAGUUGCAUCUUGCAGAACACAUCAAACAGCAAAGAAGAUUAGAAAAAUAGAAGACAUAACCAGAAGACAAUAUGAACACAUCAAAAGAGUAAAGACUUUUGCUUUGCUCACCCAAUUUGCAAUGCCAUUUGGCUCCCAAUUGCAGCACCAGGACCCGGACGCCCUUCACUCUCACCCACGGAUGAUUGGCUACCGGCUGCCAUGGUUUUGGUACCUAUCAGGCCAACAACAAGCAAUCAAUUCCUAUCAAGAACAGCAGCAGCCAGCAGCACAAGCAAAGAGCAGAAAGCAGCAAGCAUCAGAUCCAAUAACUUAG